GGAAACGGACGCUAAUACCGCAUACGUCCUACGGGAGAAAGCAGGGGACCUUCGGGCCUUGCGCUAUCAGAUGAGCCUAGGUCGGAUUAGCUAGUUGGUGGGGUAAUGGCUCACCAAGGCGACGAUCCGUAACUGGUCUGAGAGGAUGAUCAGUCACACUGGAACUGAGACACGGUCCAGACUCCUACGGGAGGCAGCAGUGGGGAAUAUUGGACAAUGGGCGAAAGCCUGAUCCAGCCAUGCCGCGUGUGUGAAGAAGGUCUUCGGAUUGUAAAGCACUUUAAGUUGGGAGGAAGGGCAGUUGCCUAAUACGUAACUGUUUUGACGUUACCGACAGAAUAAGCACCGGCUAACUCUGUGCCAGCAGCCGCGGUAAUACAGAGGGUGCAAGCGUUAAUCGGAAUUACUGGGCGUAAAGCGCGCGUAGGUGGUUUGUUAAGUUGGAUGUGAAAUCCCCGGGCUCAACCUGGGAACUGCAUUCAAAACUGACUGACUAGAGUAUGGUAGAGGGUGGUGGAAUUUCCUGUGUAGCGGUGAAAUGCGUAGAUAUAGGAAGGAACACCAGUGGCGAAGGCGACCACCUGGACUGAUACUGACACUGAGGUGCGAAAGCGUGGGGAGCAAAC
Molecule: ribosomal RNA, 626 nt
Filed under: uncultured bacterium
Lineage: Bacteria
Description: bacterial SSU rRNA
Rfam family: Bacterial small subunit ribosomal RNA
Source: RNAcentral